This 378-nucleotide unclassified non-coding RNA is filed under the name uncultured bacterium. RNAcentral describes it as "contains 16S-23S intergenic spacer region". The record is from RNAcentral.
UCCUGCUUAUCACAGGCAGUGUCCAUAUAGUCCCCGGCCGAACCGCUGGCAAAUAUGGAAGGGGGUUGCGCUCGUUGCGGGACUUAACCCAACAUCUCACGACACGAGCUGACGACAGCCGUGCAUCACCUGUGACACCUAGGUUUCCCACACGCUCCACUGCUGAAGACGCUUAAGGUGCCAUGUCAAGAUUUGGUAAGGUUUCUCGGUUAGCAUCGAAUUAAACCACAUGCUCCACCGCUUGUGCGGGCCCCCGUCAAUUCCUUUGAGUUUUAGUCUUGCGACCGUACUACCCAGGCGGAGUGCUUAACGCGUUAGCUAUUCCCACCGAAGCCGAAGCCCCGACAGGUAGCACUCAUAGUUUACGGCGUGGACUAC